AGCUCCAAUAGCGUAUAUUAAAGUUGUUGCAGUUAAAAAGCUCGUAGUUGGAUUUCUGGUGUGAGGGAACGGUCCGACCUCUGGUGGGUACUUGCUUCCUCUCACGCCAUCCUUGAGUGGUGCGUUCUGGCAUUCAGUUGUCGGGACGUUAGCCGCUCAUCGUUUACUGUGAGAAAAUUAGAGUGUUCAAAGCAGGCUUAUGCCGUUGAAUAUAUUAGCAUGGAAUAAUAAGAUAGGACUUCGGUACUAUUUUGUUGGUUUGCGCACCGAUGUAAUGAUCAAUAGGGACAGUUGGGGGUAUUCGUAUUCAGUUGUCAGAGGUGAAAUUCUUAGAUUUACGGAAGACGAACUACUGCGAAAGCAUCUGCCAUGGAUGUUUUCA
This 382-nucleotide ribosomal RNA is filed under the name uncultured marine Chaetocerotaceae. Its description in RNAcentral is "SSU rRNA". It matches the Rfam family "Eukaryotic small subunit ribosomal RNA", at positions 587 to 972 of the family's 1831-position model. The record is from RNAcentral. Lineage: Eukaryota; Bacillariophyta; Thalassiosirophyceae; Chaetocerotales; Chaetocerotaceae.